AGUUAACACAAGAUCAGCCUGAA
This 23-nucleotide non-coding RNA is filed under the name Rattus norvegicus (Norway rat). Lineage: Eukaryota; Metazoa; Chordata; Mammalia; Rodentia; Muridae. The record is from RNAcentral.